UUCGGGAAACCGGAGCUAAUACCGGAUAAUAUAUUGAACCGCAUGGUUCAAUAGUGAAAGACGGUUUUGCUGUCACUUAUAGAUGGAUCCGCGUCGCAUUAGCUAGUUGGUAAGGUAACGGCUUACCAAGGCAACGAUGCGUAGCCGACCUGAGAGGGUGAUCGGCCACACUGGAACUGAGACACGGUCCAG
This 192-nucleotide ribosomal RNA is filed under the name uncultured Staphylococcus sp. RNAcentral describes it as "partial 16S ribosomal RNA". It matches the Rfam family "Bacterial small subunit ribosomal RNA", at positions 148 to 334 of the family's 1533-position model. The record is from RNAcentral. Lineage: Bacteria; Bacillati; Bacillota; Bacilli; Caryophanales; Staphylococcaceae.